GAUGAAGAACGUAGCGAAAUGCGAUAAGUAGUGUGAAUUGCAGAAUUCAGUGAAUCAUCGAAUCUUUGAACGCACAUUGCGCCCCUUGGUAUUCCAUGGGGCAUGCCUGUUCGAGCGUCAUUUGUACCUUCAAGCUCUGCUUGGUGUUGGGUGUUUGUCUCGCCUCUGCGUGUAGACUCGCCUCAAAACAAUUGGCAGCCGGCGUAUUGAUUUCGGAGCGCAGUACAUCUCGCGCUUUGCACUCAUAACGACGACGUCCAAAAGUACAUUUUUACACUCUUGACCUCGGAUCAGGUAGGGAUACCCGCUGAACUUAAGCAUAUCAAUAACGGAGGA
Molecule: unclassified non-coding RNA, 336 nt
Filed under: soil metagenome
Description: partial contains 5.8S ribosomal RNA, internal transcribed spacer 2, and large subunit ribosomal RNA
Rfam family: 5.8S ribosomal RNA (bases 1-120)
Source: RNAcentral